This 253-nucleotide ribosomal RNA is filed under the name uncultured bacterium. Its description in RNAcentral is "partial 16S ribosomal RNA". It matches the Rfam family "Bacterial small subunit ribosomal RNA", at positions 524 to 776 of the family's 1533-position model. The record is from RNAcentral.
UACGUAGGGUGCGAGCGUUAAUCGGAAUUACUGGGCGUAAAGCGUGCGCAGGCGGUUCGUUGUGUCGGCGGUGAAAGCCCCGGGCUUAACCUGGGAAUGGCCGUUGAAACUGGCGAACUGGAGUGUGGCAGAGGGGGGUGGAAUUCCGCGUGUAGCAGUGAAAUGCGUAGAGAUGCGGAGGAACACCGAUGGCGAAGGCAGCCUCCUGGGCCAAUACUGACGCUCAUGCACGAAAGCGUGGGGAGCAAACAGG